UUAAGCGACUAAGCGUACACGGUGGAUGCCCUGGCAGUCAGAGGCGAUGAAGGACGUGCUAAUCUGCGAAAAGCGUCGGUAAGGUGAUAUGAACCGUUAUAACCGGCGAUGUCCGAAUGGGGAAACCCAGUGCAAUUCGUUGCACUAUCGUUAACUGAAUACAUAGGUUAACGAGGCGAACCGGGGGAACUGAAACAUCUAAGUACCCCGAGGAAAAGAAAUCAACCGAGAUUCCCCCAGUAGCGGCGAGCGAACGGGGAGCAGCCCAGAGUCUGAAUCAGCUUGUGUGUUAGUGGAACGGUCUGGAAAGUCCGACGGUACAGGGUGAUAGUCCCGUACACCAAAAUGCACAGGCUGUGAACUCGAAGAGUAGGGCGGGACACGUGGUAUCCUGUCUGAAUAUGGGGGGACCAUCCUCCAAGGCUAAAUACUCCUGACUGACCGAUAGUGAACCAGUACCGUGAGGGAAAGGCGAAAAGAACCCCGGCGAGGGGAGUGAAAAAGAACCUGAAACCGUGUACGUACAAGCAGUGGGAGCACCUUCGGGUGUGACUGCGUACCUUUUGUAUAAUGGGUCAGCGACUUAUAUUCUGUAGCAAGGUUAACCGUAUAGGGGAGCCGCAGGGAAACCGAGUCUUAACUGGGCGUUAAGUUGCAGGGUAUAGACCCGAAACCCGGUGAUCUAGCCAUGGGCAGGUUGAAGGUUGGGUAACACUAACUGGAGGACCGAACCGACUAAUGUUGAAAAAUUAGCGGAUGACUUGUGGCUGGGGGUGAAAGGCCAAUCAAACCGGGAGAUAGCUGGUUCUCCCCGAAAGCUAUUUAGGUAGCGCCUCGUGAACUCAUCUUCGGGGGUAGAGCACUGUUUCGGCUAGGGGGUCAUCCCGACUUACCAACCCGAUGCAAACUACGAAUACCGAAGAAUGUUAUCACGGGAGACACACGGCGGGUGCUAACGUCCGUCGUGAAGAGGGAAACAACCCAGACCGCCAGCUAAGGUCCCAAAGUCAUGGUUAAGUGGGAAACGAUGUGGGAAGGCACAGACAGCCAGGAUGUUGGCUUAGAAGCAGCCAUCAUUUAAAGAAAGCGUAAUAGCUCACUGGUCGAGUCGGCCUGCGCGGAAGAUGUAACGGGGCUAAACCAUGCACCGAAGCUGCGGCAGCGACACUAUGUGUUGUUGGGUAGGGGAGCGUUCUGUAAGCCUGCGAAGGUGUGCUGUGAGGCAUGCUGGAGGUAUCAGAAGUGCGAAUGCUGACAUAAGUAACGAUAAAGCGGGUGAAAAGCCCGCUCGCCGGAAGACCAAGGGUUCCUGUCCAACGUUAAUCGGGGCAGGGUGAGUCGACCCCUAAGGCGAGGCCGAAAGGCGUAGUCGAUGGGAAACAGGUUAAUAUUCCUGUACUUGGUGUUACUGCGAAGGGGGGACGGAGAAGGCUAUGUUAGCCGGGCGACGGUUGUCCCGGUUUAAGCAUGUAGGCUGAUUGUCCAGGCAAAUCCGGAUAAUCAAGGCUGAGGUGUGAUGACGAGGCACUACGGUGCUGAAGUAACAAAUGCCCUGCUUCCAGGAAAAGCCUCUAAGCAUCAGGUAACAUCAAAUCGUACCCCAAACCGACACAGGUGGUCAGGUAGAGAAUACCAAGGCGCUUGAGAGAACUCGGGUGAAGGAACUAGGCAAAAUGGUGCCGUAACUUCGGGAGAAGGCACGCUGGUGUGUAGGUGAAGUCCCUGCGGAUGGAGCUGAGACCAGUCGAAGAUACCAGCUGGCUGCAACUGUUUAUUAAAAACACAGCACUGUGCAAACACGAAAGUGGACGUAUACGGUGUGACGCCUGCCCGGUGCCGGAAGGUUAAUUGAUGGGGUUAUCCGUAAGGAGAAGCUCUUGAUCGAAGCCCCGGUAAACGGCGGCCGUAACUAUAACGGUCCUAAGGUAGCGAAAUUCCUUGUCGGGUAAGUUCCGACCUGCACGAAUGGCGUAAUGAUGGCCAGGCUGUCUCCACCCGAGACUCAGUGAAAUUGAACUCGCUGUGAAGAUGCAGUGUACCCGCGGCAAGACGGAAAGACCCCGUGAACCUUUACUAUAGCUUGACACUGAACAUUGAGCCUUGAUGUGUAGGAUAGGUGGGAGGCUUUGAAGCGUGGACGCCAGUCUGCGUGGAGCCAACCUUGAAAUACCACCCUUUAAUGUUUGAUGUUCUAACGUUGGCCCCUGACCGGGGUUGCGGACAGUGUCUGGUGGGUAGUUUGACUGGGGCGGUCUCCUCCCAAAGCGUAACGGAGGAGCACGAAGGUUAGCUAAUCCUGGUCGGACAUCAGGAGGUUAGUGCAAUGGCAUAAGCUAGCUUGACUGCGAGCGUGACGGCGCGAGCAGGUGCGAAAGCAGGUCAUAGUGAUCCGGUGGUUCUGAAUGGAAGGGCCAUCGCUCAACGGAUAAAAGGUACUCCGGGGAUAACAGGCUGAUACCGCCCAAGAGUUCAUAUCGACGGCGGUGUUUGGCACCUCGAUGUCGGCUCAUCACAUCCUGGGGCUGAAGUAGGUCCCAAGGGUAUGGCUGUUCGCCAUUUAAAGUGGUACGCGAGCUGGGUUUAGAACGUCGUGAGACAGUUCGGUCCCUAUCUGCCGUGGGCGCUGGAGAAUUGAGGGGGGCUGCUCCUAGUACGAGAGGACCGGAGUGGACGCAUCACUGGUGUUCGGGUUGUCAUGCCAAUGGCACUGCCCGGUAGCUAAAUGCGGAAGAGAUAAGUGCUGAAAGCAUCUAAGCACGAAACUUGCCCCGAGAUGAGUUCUCCCUGAGACUAUAAGUCUCCUGAAGGAACGUUGAAGACGACGACGUUGAUAGGCCGGGUGUGUAAGCGCAGCGAUGCGUUGAGCUAACCGGUACUAAUGAACCGUGAGGCUUAACCUU
This 2900-nucleotide ribosomal RNA is filed under the name Klebsiella pneumoniae. RNAcentral describes it as "23S ribosomal RNA". It matches the Rfam family "Bacterial large subunit ribosomal RNA". RNAcentral also lists the same sequence under 1 other name. The record is from RNAcentral. Lineage: Bacteria; Pseudomonadati; Pseudomonadota; Gammaproteobacteria; Enterobacterales; Enterobacteriaceae.